GCCUCGGUGGUGGAAUAGGUAGACACACGGGACUUAAAAUCCCGCGCCCUAACCCGGCGUGCCGGUUCGAUUCCGGCCCGAGGCA
This 85-nucleotide transfer RNA is filed under the name Methylocaldum marinum. It matches the Rfam family "tRNA". From Rfam's summary of the family: Transfer RNA (tRNA) molecules are approximately 80 nucleotides in length. Lineage: Bacteria; Pseudomonadati; Pseudomonadota; Gammaproteobacteria; Methylococcales; Methylococcaceae. The record is from Rfam by way of RNAcentral.